This 200-nucleotide ribosomal RNA is filed under the name uncultured bacterium. RNAcentral describes it as "partial 16S ribosomal RNA". It matches the Rfam family "Bacterial small subunit ribosomal RNA", at positions 8 to 238 of the family's 1533-position model. The record is from RNAcentral.
AGAGUUUGAUCAUGGCUCAGAACGAACGCUGGCGGCAGGCCUAACACAUGCAAGUCGAGCGCCCCGCAAGGGGAGCGGCGGACGGGUGAGUAACACGUGGGAACAUGCCCUUUGGUUCGGAACAACUCAGGGAAACUUGAGCUAAUACCGAAUGUGCCGGUAACGGGAAAGAUUUAUCGCCAAAGGAUUGGCCCGCGUCC